This 502-nucleotide ribosomal RNA is filed under the name uncultured bacterium. RNAcentral describes it as "partial 16S ribosomal RNA". It matches the Rfam family "Bacterial small subunit ribosomal RNA", at positions 28 to 507 of the family's 1533-position model. The record is from RNAcentral.
GACGAACGCUGGCGGCGUGCCUAAUACAUGCAAGUCGAACGAACCGCGACUAGGUGCUUGCACUUGGUCAAGGUGAGUGGCGAGCGGGUGAGUAACACGUGGGUAACCUACCUCAUAGUGGGGGAUAACAGUCGGAAACGACUGCUAAUACCGCAUAGGACAUAGGAUCACAUGAUUCUGUGAGGAAAGGUGGCGCAAGCUAUCGCUAAGAGAUGGACCCGCGGUGCAUUAGCUAGUUGGUAGGGUAAAGGCCUACCAAGGCGAUGAUGCAUAGCCGACCUGAGAGGGUGAUCGGCCACAUUGGGACUGAGACACGGCCCAAACUCCUACGGGAGGCAGCAGUAGGGAAUCUUCCGCAAUGGACGCAAGUCUGACGGAGCAACGCCGCGUGAGUGAAGAAGGUCUUCGGAUCGUAAAGCUCUGUUGUUAGAGAAGAACAGCGCAUAGAGUAACUGUUAUGCGUGUGACGGUAUCUAACCAGAAAGCCGCGGCUAACUACGUG